UACGUAGGUGGCAAGCGUUGUCCGGAUUUAUUGGGUUUAAGGGUGCGUAGGCGGUUCAAUAAGUCAGUGGUGAAAUACGGCAGCUCAACUGUCGAGGUGCCAUUGAUACUGUUGAACUUGAGUACAGACGAGGUAGGCGGAAUUGACGGUGUAGCGGUGAAAUGCUUAGAUAUCGUCAAGAACACCGAUAGCGAAGGCAGCUUACUAGGCUGUAACUGACGCUGAAGUGCGAAAGCCAGGGUAGCAAACGGG
Molecule: ribosomal RNA, 252 nt
Filed under: uncultured prokaryote
Description: partial 16S ribosomal RNA
Rfam family: Bacterial small subunit ribosomal RNA
Source: RNAcentral